RNAcentral lists this ribosomal RNA (478 nucleotides) under uncultured organism. Its description in RNAcentral is "partial 16S ribosomal RNA". It matches the Rfam family "Bacterial small subunit ribosomal RNA", at positions 331 to 800 of the family's 1533-position model. The record is from RNAcentral.
GUACACUCCUGCGGGAGGCAGCAGUGGGGAAUUUUGGACAAUGGGCGAAAGCCUGAUCCAGCCAUGCCGCGUGCAGGAUGAAGGCCUUCGGGUUGUAAACUGCUUUUGUACGGAACGAAACGGCCUUUUCUAAUAAAGAGGGCUAAUGACGGUACCGUAAGAAUAAGCACCGGCUAACUACGUGCCAGCAGCCGCGGUAAUACGUAGGGUGCAAGCGUUAAUCGGAAUUACUGGGCGUAAAGCGUGCGCAGGCGGUUAUGUAAGACAGUUGUGAAAUCCCCGGGCUCAACCUGGGAACUGCAUCUGUGACUGCAUAGCUAGAGUACGGUAGAGGGGGAUGGAAUUCCGCGUGUAGCAGUGAAAUGCGUAGAUAUGCGGAGGAACACCGAUGGCGAAGGCAAUCCCCUGGACCUGUACUGACGCUCAUGCACGAAAGCGUGGGGAGCAAACAGGAUUAGAAACCCCGGUAGUCCCAUGA